CCUACGGGAGGCAGCAGUGAGGAAUAUUGGUCAAUGGUCGGGAGACUGAACCAGCCAAGCCGCGUGAGGGAGGAAGGUACAGAGUAUCGUAAACCUCUUUUGUCAGGGAACAAAGACUGGGACGCGUCCCCGGAUGAGUGUACCUGAAGAAAAAGCAUCGGCAAACUCCGUGCCAGCAGCCGCGGUAAUACGGAGGAUGCGAGCGUUAUCCGGAUUUAUUGGGUUUAAAGGGUGCGCAGGCGGUCUGUUAAGUCAGCGGUAAAAGCCCGGGGCUCAACCCCGGCCAGCCGUUGAAACUGGCAGGCUCGAGUUGGAGAGAAGUAUGCGGAAUGCGCGGUGUAGCGGUGAAAUGCAUAGAGAUCGCGCAGAACUCCGAUUGCGAAGGCAGCAUGCCGGCUCCACACUGACGCUGAGGCACGAAAGCGUGGGUAUCGAACAGGAUUAGAUACCCUAGUAGUC
This 459-nucleotide ribosomal RNA is filed under the name uncultured bacterium. RNAcentral describes it as "partial 16S ribosomal RNA". It matches the Rfam family "Bacterial small subunit ribosomal RNA", at positions 338 to 795 of the family's 1533-position model. The record is from RNAcentral.